GACGCUGAGGAGCGAAAGCAUGGGGAGCGAACAGGAUUAGAUACCCUGGUAGUCCAUGCCGUAAACGUUGGGCACUAGGUGUGGGGGACAUUCCACGUUUUCCGCGCCGUAGCUAACGCAUUAAGUGCCCCGCCUGGGGAGUACGGCCGCAAGGCUAAAACUCAAAGGAAUUGACGGGGGCCCGCACAAGCGGCGGAGCAUGCGGAUUAAUUCGAUGCAACGCGAAGAACCUUACCAAGGCUUGACAUGUUCCUGACCGCCGUAGAGAUACGGUUUCCCCUUUGGGGCAGGUUCACAGGUGGUGCAUGGUUGUCGUCAGCUCGUGUCGUGAGAUGUUGGGUUAAGUCCCGCAACGAGCGCAACCCUCGUUCCAUGUUGCCAGCACGUAGUGGUGGGGACUCAUGGGAGACUGCCGGGGUCAACUCGGAGGAAGGUGGGGACGACGUCAAAUCAUCAUGCCCCUUAUGUCUUGGGCUUCACGCAUGCUACAAUGGCCGGUACAAUGGGUUGCGAUACUGUGAGGUGGAGCUAAUCCCAAAAAGCCGGUCUCAGUUCGGAUUGGGGUCUGCAACUCGACCCCAUGAAGUCGGAGUCGCUAGUAAUCGCAGAUCAGCAACGCUGCGGUGAAUACGUUCCCGGGCCUUGUACACACCGCCCGUCAAGUCACGAAAGUUGGUAACACUUCGAAGCCGGUGGCAC
This 699-nucleotide ribosomal RNA is filed under the name Micrococcus luteus. RNAcentral's name for it is "bacterial SSU rRNA". It matches the Rfam family "Bacterial small subunit ribosomal RNA", at positions 742 to 1436 of the family's 1533-position model. Lineage: Bacteria; Bacillati; Actinomycetota; Actinomycetes; Micrococcales; Micrococcaceae. The record is from RNAcentral.